This is an RNA transcript of Amaranthus tricolor (Joseph's coat), 4447 nucleotides long. RefSeq lists it as uncharacterized. The transcript is spliced from 4 exons. Lineage: Eukaryota; Viridiplantae; Streptophyta; Magnoliopsida; Caryophyllales; Amaranthaceae. The record is from RefSeq and is a predicted model, not a curated record.
UUGUAACUUAAGUUUGUUACCAUAGUGAACCCAGCCACCCACGCAAAUCGAUCCAUCACCGUGCGCUAUUAGGGUUCGUAAUUGAAAACCCAUAGUAUCUCGACACUUUUAGAAACUAAAAAAUUCUGUGUACGAAGCGAUAUCCAGCCAUUUCUUCUCCAGACGAAAUUUUGUCUGUCUUCCCAAGGCACUAAUCAUAUUGCUCUGGAUGAAGAUUCGGCAUAGCAUGAUGCUGUUGUUGUGAGGAUGGCAUUGCUUGUGAAUAUUCUCAGAGGUGUUAUUGAAGCUAUAUGUUCUCGUACAUCUACACAGAUACUGACCUGCAAGAAGAUCGACCUCGUAAAGUUUGGAUCCUACCGUCCUAUCAAGAGCAUGAUCAGUAAAAUCAUGCUUCUGGAGCUUUUGCUUGCAUAUGCAGGCAUAUAGCACUGUGAAGGUUUCAAGUUGAUAGAAUGAUGGAGAGACUCUAUAAAGCUGGGGAGAAGAGAAUGGGAACUGAUGAGGAUAUGCUCAUAAGAAUUAUAACCAGGAGAGGCAUGGUACACCUUGCUGCUGUUAAGAAAGAGACGUCUGGAAUUUUUGCUUUUGAUCUUCUGACAACUUUAAGAUGUGUGGAAAACCUAGCAAAAUACUAUGCAAAGAUAACAUUUAUGUACUCGCAUUUGCUGUUUAACUCUUGAGGUCUACUGCUUGGAGUCUCAAACUGUUUCUACUAGAUGCUGUCCCUGUUUUUUUUUUUUACAAUAUCUUCAUUGAUAGUACAAGGUGGCUCAAGCUAAGAUUUCACAUUCGCCUUUAUGUGGGACGGAGUAUAUUCCACUUUCAAAUCACAGUCUAAGUAUUGCCCUUCUUGUUGCAUUACUGGUACUUGCGAAAGCAAUCAUGGAUUUGGGCAUUGAUGACUCAACAUUGGGGUUAUUAUGACAGGGGUCGAGAUUGAUAUGCAAUACAUAAAAUCGAGUAUUUGAAGUAUAAGAUGUCAUUGGUUGUUGCAGUUCAUACAGAAACUUUUGGUGCUUACAGUAAUUUUCUUCUUGCUCUCCUGUGUCCAAUAUACUGUGUUUUGGGGUUGUUUGGCAAGUGAUUGUUAGAUGUUGGCUUUUUAGUUGGCUUGUUUGACCAACUGAAAGUAUUGACUAAUUUUGUUGGUAAUUAAGCUAGCUGAAUAAACCAAUUGUUUUGCGAUAUGUUUGGUAAAAUUAGAGGAAAAGUGAAAUAACAAGCAAAACAUCAUUUAAAAAAGCCAACAAAGUUAGCCUAUUCAUUUGGGCUUAAAAUCCAGCUUUUCAGCUGGCCAAAAGCCAUUUACCAAAUACGUUUUUUUUUUGCUUUUUGACUAGUCAACAAGCUAAAAGCCAAAAGCCAAAAACCAACCAAAAAAAUCACACUCAAAAUCUGUUUACCAAACAAGUCCUAUAUGUGAUGUUUAUAGCAUCUUAGGAACCAAGCCUUUUGUGUGAAUUUGUACUUCCAAGUCUGCUAAUUAAUGUAGAUUGUUUGGUUUAAAUAGAUUGUUGCCUUUUCCACUUAAACAUAAUUCUUUACCUCUCUUCAUUCCAUAUUAUGUGCCACUUUGCAAUCAGGGCAUGUUCUAUCCAACUUAUUUUCGAUUUAGUUCAAUUUUGCCCAUUACUUUCACAUUUGCACAAGUAUGUCAGUUAUCAGAUUGAUAACUACUUUUAUUCCACACUUUUCAUUCUUCAAUGUAUGAUAUAUUAAUAAGCGAUACUUGUUUGGUUGUCACUUGUAUGAUGUAUGAAUUAUCAUGGGUGCGACGACCUAAAAUGAUACUAAGAUUAUGGAGCAUUGUGUGUGACUAACAGACUGAUACGUGUCCAAGUAUCACGAUCCAGUUGAGGGAAGUUGGGAGAGGAUAGGUCAUGUGCUUUUGGCACUUUGCAAAGGAAAGGAUGAUGAGACAUGUUUUGAUUGUAGGGAAGGGAAGAUAGAAUGAGGAAACAUAGGUAUUUAGGGUUGAGGCCUUAAUAUUAGAAGAUUGAUGGGCCUGGGUAAGGUUUAGACGUAGUAAGGAGAAAAGAUUGGCGUGGGGAGUUUGUUGGAGAAGAUAGAAUCUAUGUUGAAUAGGUCUAAAUUGUACUCCCUUCGUUUUUAUAUGUUCUUGUCCAAUACAAUUUACGAAUUUUCAACUUUUAGUGUUAAACUUUGACUAUGAUUUCUCAUUGAUAUAUAAGACUAAACAUAUUUAUGUGAAAUCUUGAUAGAUUCAUAUCAAUAUAUACUUUCUAAAUAUCUAACUUUUUAAAAUUUUUAAAAACUUAUAAUUUAAAUUAUUUGACCUUUAAGUUUACAUUGGGAUUCGCAAAAAAGUAAAUGAGAAAAACAAAUGAAAACCGAAGAAAUAUGAACUGCGCUGACUAAUAGUUCGUGCCUUUAGGAAAUUUAUAGGUUGUUUUAAUAGUUAAAAUGUUGAAUGUUUUUCCUUCCACCCUUGUGAUAGAAACUUAGAUUACACCACGAAGGUUAAUUUUUACUUCCUCUCAACUCUAUAGGGAAAAUCACCUUAUCUAUUUCCUUAUAUUGGCACUCACUAAUUUUUUUUAUAAAAGCGUAAGUGCCUAAGUGGAAUUGCCUAAAUUUGCAGAGUAGAAAUAGUAAGUAAUGAACAAUGUAUUUAAAUGGAAAUUUAAAUUUAUUACUCUAUUUAUUGUUCUCAUUUUGCACCACUUUUUAUUUUAGUUUGUUCCACUAAUUAUGUAAUAAUUUCCCUUUUGGUAAUUGUCCAACUUUCCUUUUAAUAUCAUCUACAAAAUCAUACUUUUUCUUCGUUUUAAUUAUAUUUUUUUUUCUUCACUUGUUUUUUGUCUUGUUUUUUAACUUCUUUCCACGAAUUUCACUCAUUUUGCGCACUAAGUGUUAAGUAAAAUGAGAAGGACAAAGGGCCCGAUGGUUAUGUCAAUGCAAAAGUUGGUAUGAUGUCUAUAUGUAUGCUUCUCUGUUCCUUUUUUUUUUCUCUCGAAUGGUCUUGCAGCUAGCUUGAUGUUUAUUGAUGUGUAUUAUUAUUACUGGUCCAAAAAACAAAAUGCUUCAUAUCAUUAUUACAACUUACAAGUGCUCAUCUACAUUAUGAAAUUAGAAAGUGACAUACAGAAUAGAACGAUUUCUCAUACUCGUGUGUUUGUCACUUGUGAGUUGUGAGUUGGCUUUCUGCUAUCUUCAUUUAAUUGGAUAUGACUCCAUAUUAUUGGAUCAUUCUUUUAAUUUCAGCCCCAAAAUGGAAUACUUUUUUUUUUUAAUAUUGCUCCAAAAUUAUAUUUUAAUACUAUGGUUAGAUAGCAACUUUGGAGAGAAAAGAAAGAAAAGAGAAAGGGAGGGAAGAGAAUUGAAAGGGAAAAAACUCUUGUUCAUUUAGGAGGGAAGGAAAGGAAAAGAAAAGAAGAUAAGAAUUUUUCAUUCAAAUUUUUUCAACUUUAAAAAGAUUAUUAGCAAGUUUUGUAUGAGACCAUCUUACCGUGAGAUGGGCCCAUACAAGUUUUCCAAAAAUUAAAAUGUAAUUUUGAGAAAAUAUUAAUGAAACUGAAAAGGUAAUCAACUGUUUUAGUUUUUAGGCUAGCCUAUAUUAAGCCGUCUCACGAUGAAACGGUCUUAAUAAAGUAUUUUUCAAAGAUUAAUACCUUAACAAAAAACAUCCAUCUAAUUCCUUUAAAUUCUCUUCCUCUCAUUUUAUUAUUCAAAAAAGCGAUUCUUCAUCCUUUUAAAUUUAUCCCUUUUUUUUCUUCAAUUUCCUUUUAUCUAAAAGUUCAUAUUGAUUACUAUAAUUCUAAAAGCCUAUUGCGCCUUUUAUUGAUAGAAAUGGUGACUUGUGAUCAUGCAUAAGUUAGAUGGGUUUAUUCUAAAACAAAUUACUGGUAGAUGUAGUGAUGCACUAAAUUCAUGUUAUUGGUCCAAGUAGAUGCUUUAAGUACAUUGGUUCAUAUUUCAUAUCAUUAAAGGUGAUAUCUAAUAAGAAGUGACUUAUAAAAUUAGUGAGUGAUAGAAAACAGAGUAGCUACCAAGAUUAUAUGUGGUUGAAUUGUGCCAUUAAAGCUAAUGGGCAAAUCAGCGCUACUAUAUGGAUUGAAAUGUCGGUCUUUUAUAAAAGAUCAUAGUGAGUAAUGGAGGGGAACAAAGAUGUAAUGCUUUAGUGAAUGAGUUGUUGUAUCUUAAAAGAUAGAAUUCGAAACGAAGAUCCAAUGAAGAGUUUAGCCUAAGGAGUCGCAAAUGAUGUGGAAAAUAUGAAUUAGAUGGUUUUGGUAUUUGCAAAGCGGAGUAUUAGCGAACUGAUAAAAAAGAAAAUUGAUAGAGGAUUUAAGGAGAGGGCGAGAAAGACAAAAAGUAAUCUGAAAAUUAAUUGACAAAUUGCAAAUUUUUAUUUAUUAUACGACGUUGAUUUUGUUAUUAACUUUAACUCGCAUUUUUUAAGCCCACUUAAUAUAAUAGGUAUCAUAAA